CAGUAGCCGCGGGAAUACCGAGGGUGCGAGCGUUAAUCGGAUUUACUGGGCGUAAAGCGUGCGUAGGCGGCUUCUUAAGUCGGAUGUGAAAUCCCUGAGCUUAACUUAGGAAUUGCAUUCGAUACUGGGAAGCUAGAGUAUGGGAGAGGAUGGUAGAAUUCCAGGUGUAGCGGUGAAAUGCGUAGAGAUCUGGAGGAAUACCGAUGGCGAAGGCAGCCAUCUGGCCUAAUACUGACGCUGAGGUACGAAAGCAUGGGGAGCAAACAGGAUUAGAUACCCGCGUAGUCCCUGUCUCUUAUAC
This 301-nucleotide ribosomal RNA is filed under the name uncultured bacterium. Its description in RNAcentral is "partial 16S ribosomal RNA". It matches the Rfam family "Bacterial small subunit ribosomal RNA", at positions 509 to 807 of the family's 1533-position model. The record is from RNAcentral.